UAUAUUGCACAAUGGGCGAAAGCCUGAUGCAGCGACGCCGCGUGGGGGAUGAAGGCCUUCGGGUUGUAAACCCCUUUCAGCAGGGUAGAAGCGAGAGUGACGGUACCUGCAGAAGAAGCGCCGGCUAACUACGUGCCAGCCGCCGCGGUAAUUCGUAGGGCGCAAGCGUUGUCCGGAAGUAUUGGGCGUAAAGAGCGCGUAGGCGGUCAGUCUCGUCUGCUGUGAAAGCCCGAGGCUCAACCACGAGCCGGCAGUGGGUACGGGCUGACUAGAGUGCGGUAGGGGGAACUGGAAUUCCUGGUGUAGCGGUGGAAUGCGCAGAUAUCAGGAGGAGCACCGAUGGCAGAGGCAGGUCUCUGGGCCGCAACUGACGCUGAGGAGCGAAAGCAUGGGGAGCGAACA
RNAcentral lists this ribosomal RNA (402 nucleotides) under uncultured bacterium. RNAcentral's name for it is "partial 16S ribosomal RNA". It matches the Rfam family "Bacterial small subunit ribosomal RNA", at positions 359 to 774 of the family's 1533-position model. The record is from RNAcentral.